UCUUACUAAAACGAAAACAAAUGGAUUUUCAUUUUACCAGCUUUUGGUGUUCUGUUCAGGUGUAAAAUCAGGUGAAGUUUACUUCAUUGAGCUUUAAGGGACUCAGGUUUUUCACUUCUAUUUUCGGAGGGAUGUUCAUGAAGUAGAUCUAGAAUCAGUACUCACUUUAGUGAUCUAAGAAUCAGAGUCGAAAAACAGAUUAAAUGGUAUAAGGUCGCAGCAGUGAGAUUCUCUAAGUGUUUUUGAGCUUUUUCAGUGAGAUUUGAGGAACUGUGAUGGGUGCUACAAAGCUGAAGUGGUUUAUCAAUGGUGUAAAAUUGAAGUGUAUUUGAUAAA
This is a long non-coding RNA of Papaver somniferum (opium poppy), 336 nucleotides long. RefSeq lists it as uncharacterized. Lineage: Eukaryota; Viridiplantae; Streptophyta; Magnoliopsida; Ranunculales; Papaveraceae. The transcript has 3 exons. The record is from RefSeq and is a predicted model, not a curated record.